GGGUCGGUGCCCGAGUGGUUAAAGGGAGCGGAUUGUAAAUCCGUUGCGUAACGCUACGUUGGUUCGAAUCCAACCCGGCCCA
Molecule: transfer RNA, 82 nt
Filed under: Navicula veneta
Lineage: Eukaryota; Bacillariophyta; Bacillariophyceae; Naviculales; Naviculaceae
Description: tRNA-Tyr
Rfam family: tRNA
About the family: Transfer RNA (tRNA) molecules are approximately 80 nucleotides in length. Their secondary structure includes four short double-helical elements and three loops (D, anti-codon, and T loops).
Source: RNAcentral